GACGAACGCUGGCGGCGUGCUUAACACAUGCAAGUCGAACGGAAAGGCCCCCUUGUGGGGUACUCGAGUGGCGAACGGGUGAGUAACACGUGAGUAACCUACCCUUGACUUUGGGAUAACUUCAGGAAACUGGGGCUAAUACCGGAUAGGAGCUCCUGCUGCAUGGUGGGGGUUGGAAAGUUUCGGCGGUUGGGGAUGGACUCGCGGCUAUCAGCUUGUUGGUGGGGUAGUGGCUCACCAAGGCUUUGACGGGUAGCCGGCCUGAGAGGGUGACCGGCCACAUUGGGACUGAGAUACGGCCCAGACUCCUACGGGAGGCAGCAGUGGGGAAUAUUGCACAAUGGGCGGAAGCCUGAUGCAGCAACGCCGCGUGCGGGAUGACGGCCUUCGGGUUGUAAACCGCUUUCGCCUGUGACGAAGCGUGAGUGACGGUAAUGGGUAAAGAAGCACCGGCUAACUACGUG
This 464-nucleotide ribosomal RNA is filed under the name uncultured bacterium. RNAcentral's name for it is "partial 16S ribosomal RNA". It matches the Rfam family "Bacterial small subunit ribosomal RNA", at positions 28 to 507 of the family's 1533-position model. The record is from RNAcentral.